UGCCCCAUCAAACCAAAAUGGAAGAUAUAAACAUAGGAGUGACAAUGGGACUGUUCCAAAAGAGGUUCCAGAUUGGGUCAUUGCUGUGAGCACUGUCGCCUCAGCCGCCGUAGCAUGUGGUAGUUGUCUGCUGCUUGGCGCUCUUUACAAGAGAAAGAGGAAGAAAAAGAAGAUCAAACCAGAUGAAAACGAAAACAAACAAGAAGCUUCCAAAUCCUGGAUUUUGUCGAUUUAAUGCAUUGUUGUUCCUUAAUCUCCAAUCACAGGGUGCGCUUAAAUUGUCUGUUACAAAAUAAUUGUACCGCAGAUACUUUAAUUUUGUAUACUUUUUUGGAAGCCCCUGGUAUCAGA
This is a long non-coding RNA of Lingula anatina, 351 nucleotides long. RefSeq lists it as uncharacterized. The record is from RefSeq and is a predicted model, not a curated record. Lineage: Eukaryota; Metazoa; Brachiopoda; Lingulata; Lingulida; Lingulidae.